RNAcentral lists this long non-coding RNA (374 nucleotides) under Cricetulus griseus (Chinese hamster). RNAcentral's name for it is "lncRNA (ENSCGRG00015032888.1)". The record is from RNAcentral. Lineage: Eukaryota; Metazoa; Chordata; Mammalia; Rodentia; Cricetidae.
AAGACAUUUAUAUGUGCACGGUCUGAUUAGCCUGGCCUAACGUGUGGGGCUCUGGGCUGACCCUCGGCACUGCCAGCAUAGGGUGUGGCUGGAGACCGCGAGCACGCUGGUGCCUGAAGUGGACGCAGGGAUUCCCGGUGUAGACCUAUCUACUCAGGUGAAGCAGGGGUUGUUGGCAAGGUCACAGAAAAGGAGACCAAGCUGGUCUGAAGAGCUGGACUCGGCAUCGAUUUAAGCAUGGGCCUUGAUGGAGAGAGGUGCUGAGAGAAAGGAUAGCAUGAAACCAAGCGUUAGUGUAGACCUCUGUCGUCACUAAGCACACACAGACACACACGCAUGCACACGUGUGCUUGAACAAAGUCUUCCCAUUUUCC